UGGGGAAUUUUGCGCAAUGGGGGCAACCCUGACGCAGCAACGCCGCGUGCGGGACGACGGCCUUCGGGUUGUAAACCGCUUUCAGCAGGGAAGAAAUUCGACGGUACCUGCAGAAGAAGCUCCGGCUAACUACGUGCCAGCAGCCGCGGUAAUACGUAGGGAGCGAGCGUUAUCCGGAUUCAUUGGGCGUAAAGAGCGCGUAGGCGGCCUCUCAAGCGGGAUCUCUAAUCCGAGGGCUCAACCCCCGGCCGGAUCCCGAACUGGGAGGCUAGAGUUCGGUAGAGGCAGGCGGAAUUCCCGGUGUAGCGGUGGAAUGCGCAGAUAUCGGGAAGAACACCGAUGGCGAAGGCAGCCUGCUGGGCCGCAACUGACGCUGAGGCGCGAAAGCUAGGGGAGCGAACAGG
This 404-nucleotide ribosomal RNA is filed under the name bacterium. Its description in RNAcentral is "partial 16S ribosomal RNA". It matches the Rfam family "Bacterial small subunit ribosomal RNA", at positions 355 to 776 of the family's 1533-position model. The record is from RNAcentral.